UAGUCUGGGAAACUGCCUGAUGGAGGGGGAUAACUACUGGAAACGGUAGCUAAUACCGCAUAACGUCGCAAGACCAAAGAGGGGGACCUUGGGCCUCUUGCCAUCGGAUGUGCCCAGAUGGGAUUAGCUAGUAGGUGGGGUAACGGCUCACCUAGGCGACGAUCCCUAGCUGGUCUGAGAGGAUGACCAGCCACACUGGAACUGAGACACGGUCCAG
RNAcentral lists this ribosomal RNA (217 nucleotides) under uncultured bacterium. RNAcentral's name for it is "partial 16S ribosomal RNA". It matches the Rfam family "Bacterial small subunit ribosomal RNA", at positions 113 to 334 of the family's 1533-position model. The record is from RNAcentral.